UAUUUAAAAAAUUCAAUUGUAAAUAAAUUUUAAUUAUUUAACAUAUUUUUUGCUGUAUUUCCUUAGCCCAUGCAAUUUAAAACUAUCCUAAACACUAAUAUUAAAUAUUAAAUUUUAUAAAUAACACAUCCCCACAAAAAAAAAGUGUCGUGCGCGACUGACCAGAGUAUCCUAUCCCUAUGUAUUUCGGUGCCCUGAACACGAAUCCAAGGUCAGAUUUGCUCCAUCCCGGCAGGUUUUUUUCUAGCCUCAAAAAACUAAUUUGGUCAAAACAUGGUGGAAACUCAUUUGAAAAAUUUAUCGGAUUUGCUUGAAACUCGUCAAUGGGGGCUUUUGGGGUCGCUGAUUACGAAUUUGAUGUCAGUUUUCUUGUUUCGAGAUGUAUCGAGUUCUUUUCUCUUCAAAAGAUCUAUUUAAAAGGGAAAGAUCUAGAUGCAAGGCCGGAGAAUUAUUCGUUUUAAGUAAGUCCGGUCUUAUUGGAUCCGCCAUUUUGAAUUUUUGAAAACUGAAUUUAAAUUUUUAACUAUUGCCUUCGGUCAGACGCGCACGACACUUUUUUUGUGAGGAUGUGUAAUUUAUACAGAAUGUUUUGGAAUAUCCGCUUUGGCAAUCAUGCCUUUAUAAAGCCCGGACCUGAUUCCGUUUCUAUACAAAAACAACGACACUCACAUACUUAGGACCAUUUACCGUAAGUUCAUUUACACUUCCAUACAUACAAACAUAACCAGAAACUACCUUACUAAAAAGACGCGACUGUGAACGAGUAGAAAAAUAACGAAGGAAAAAAGAAAUCAAAUGAAAAACUAACCGUUUAAAAUCUUUUCCAAACAUUUCAUUACACUUACAAUUAAAACUAAGUAUAAAAGUGUGUCGAAAACUGAAUGUAAAGCAAACUAUUGUGUGGUUAUAUACCGUAGAUAAGCAUUAAAUAUUAUCUGAUUUGUAAUUAUAAUGUGGAAUUCAUUAAACAAAGCUCAACUGGAAUUAAACUUGAGCUUUUUUCAAUGAACUCUCCCAAACAAGUUGUCAUUUCAAAAAAAAAAUAUCUAAAAGAAAAACAAUUGGUAAAUUUGCAAUGGAAAUAUCGCACAGCCGUCCAAAAGAGAGCAAAAAUAUUUGAAAAUUAAAAAAAAAUACCUUUCAACAUAUCAAAAAGAAAUUCAUUAUUAAAUAUUGAGUUUUUGAAAUGACAACUUUUAGAAUAACAACGAUAUCAACGAGACAAUUUGAAUUGCCAAAAUUAAAUACUUUAAUAUGUACUAAAUUUAGCUAUGAAUGAUAGAUUAUGAAUUAUGAUUAAGAUAAAGUAUGAUGACGAAUGGUGGUGUAUGUCUUUGUCUGCCACUUGAAUGACUUUUGGAUGAUUCUGAAUCUAUUGAAGAUGAGCCUCAGCCUGAGCUGAGCGAAGGCCGCCGCCGAGAGGAUCUUGCACAUUAUGGCUGUGGUAAACAAAAUGUGUUUUGAUUAAGUAUGACUUGAUGAGUACUUGAGAUGAUAAAUGAUGCUUGUGCGUGCGUUGUAUGAGGAAGAAUUGAUGAUGAGAAUUAUGUGAUGAUUGACAAAUGGUUGUUAUGCAAAAGUAGUGUUGGGAAAGAGAAAUAGUUUCGAGUGAAUGGAUGGUACAUCACACCCAGUACUAGAGAAGCACUCAUCUAGCACAAAUUUCUAACUUUUAUACAUUACAUAUUAAAUCUACAUGCCUGUGCAUAUGCAUAGAUCUAUUAUAAUGUAAGAACGUGUGUGCCCGUAACUGUGACUGAGUAUUUCUGUAUGUUAUCAUUCCAAAAACGAAAAAAACAACAAAAAAAAACCCAAAAACCGAAACCUCUUCAGAAUUUCAAGAAGCUUGUAAAAUUUUAAUUUUCCCUCAUUAGGCUUAAAACAUAUAAGCUAGGAUAAGGGUUAAAUGAGGGUUAAGAUGCCAGGCUGCUCCAAUUUUUUUGUUUGGAGAAUGGACACUUUAGCCGUUUUAUUAAAUGUGUGAAUAGGGUGUAGGUCGCGUCGUCUGUUCUACAAAAAAAUGCCAAUUGUGCUACAACUAUAACUGUAAACAUUGCCUGUGAUUUGAUAAACUGUGUAUGUUAAGAAUGUGUGUGUGCAUGUUCGUGUGCGUGUACGGGUAUGAUAUUGUGUGCAAGUAUUGAAGUAAAUAAAAAAAGCACCACGCGCAGCAGAGCAAAGUGAAAUGUAAAGAAAUUAUGAUAUUUUUAAUGUAAAAACAUAAACUAAUACUAAUAAACUGUACACAACGGUAAUUGUAAACGAAACGAAAACAAAAAAAAAAUAAAUUGAAAACGUAACAUAUGGUACUGAUUUUAUACUGAGAACUGAGACUUACUAUUUAUACAAAUACGAAACGAAACACUUACUUAAGGACUUACAAUGAAUUACUUUACCCAGGACUAUGCGACAUAUACAGAACGUACUACUACAUACUACAAAUAACGAUGAAAUUAUAAAAGGUAUGGACAACAGGCAAAAACAGCCAAGGAAAAUUGAAAGGCGCCUACGAACCAUUUGGAAAAUGUGGAUUUCGUCUUCAAGGUAUGAUAAGCAAAAGAGUUGCAUUUUACAUAGCAUUCGUUGCAUCACUUUUUUUUGGUCCGUUUGGCCUAUUGUCCAUAACCUCUGUUUCACAGCAAUUUCCCAGCGGGCGGAUUUUAAUGAAACUGCCUGCAGCCCAAAACCAAAUCAAACUAGUGAAAUUUACAUGAAACAUACAUACAUAACCACUUAUGCAUUACAUAUACAUUACAUACAUAUGAGCAUUAUAAUAAAUGAAUUGUAUUAAAUAUAUAUAUGACGAUAUAUAUUUAAACGAAACUAAGAGAAAUCGAACUACUGGUAACGCUGACGCGCGGUGCUUUUUAGAGAAUAUUUCUGUGCUAAUUCUGUAUGCUAGUAUA
Long non-coding RNA from Drosophila miranda, 2906 nucleotides. RefSeq lists it as uncharacterized. The record is from RefSeq and is a predicted model, not a curated record. NCBI's taxonomy places the organism in Eukaryota, Metazoa, Arthropoda, Insecta, Diptera, Drosophilidae. The transcript is spliced from 2 exons.